This is a long non-coding RNA of Mustela lutreola (European mink), 1230 nucleotides long. RefSeq lists it as uncharacterized. The record is from RefSeq and is a predicted model, not a curated record. Lineage: Eukaryota; Metazoa; Chordata; Mammalia; Carnivora; Mustelidae. The transcript has 7 exons.
GGAAGAGAAGCCCUCCCAUAAUACCUAUGAAGAAUCAAGACACUGGCUGGAAGCAGAAUUUCCCUCAGUGCUUAGUACCCAUCAGCAAAGCACAGUAAUAAGGUUACACAAGUCAUUUGGUUAUGAACUCCACAUAAGUCCACCUGAUCACUGGAGAACAAACAAGUAAGUCUCAUCACUUGCCGAGCAGGAAAACUACAACUGUAUCUUACCUUUCUGGAGUUACACAGGCACCAACGGGCAGUGAAGGUCAAGAAAAAACAGAAAGCGAGAGAGGAUGAAAUGUAGAUCAAGAAAGCCAAGCAUCCAGGAAAUAACCCUUGGGAUUUGCAUAUGUAAUGGAUGGAGUUAAAUAGGUAACCGGUCUCAAAGAGGGAAAGGGAAAAAACCAGGAAUAGCUUCUGCUGAAUAUUUUAGCUGAUGUUAUCUCAUUCAUGUGGCAGACCAGUAACAGGAAAAUAAAUGACUCUCAUCCUUUUGGAAUGAAGUAGCUAUAGUAAGUUGUGACCUCAGCAGCUUCCUCCUCUUCCUCAGGCCCAGCCUUUGCUUCUCUCUGUCUCUGGCUAUUGCUCCCUAUUUCAGCCAUCUGGGCAUUUUGUGAAAUCAGUGGGGAGGGAAAUGUAUUAAAGAAAAAAGUCUCCAAAGAUUUUUGCAUUUAUUAAAGGGAUAUUUAAAGGAUGUCAAAGGAUGAUGAGACCAUCAUACAGUAUCCAAUAUAAAAAGUCAAAGCAGCAAGAUAUCAUUAAGAAUUGUCCAGACUUUCACCUCUGUUGUUGAUUCUUCUUGAAGAUGGGAUUUCAUUUGUGAAGACCUGAUUUUCAUUUUGUGUCAAAUGACAAAAUUUCUUUUUUUCUUUUUUUUUUUUUUUCUUCAUUGAAUCACUUAUUGAAACAUCUGCCAGGACAAUGGUUGUGCUGAAGAAUUUGAGACACUGGACAAUAAACAUUAAAUGACUGUGAGACAGGCAAGAAUAAUUAGAAAUACUAUAAGAAGGGACUAGAAUAUACUUUGUUACCAUAACCUGAGACUUUUCAGGCGUGACCAAGAAAACAAGUCCCAAUAUUCCCUAAGCUGCCUUUUUUAUUAACUUAGAUGUAGAUUGUUUUAUUCCACUUGUCAUGUUAGUUCAGGUAGAACAUGAAGUGUUAGUAAUGGUUUUGAUUGGACAAAAAUAAUUCAACACCAUUCUAUCAUCUAUAACCAUAACCAGGAUUAUGAUGGCCUUGGGUG